GGAAGUAAAAGUCGUAGCAAGGUCUCCGUAGGUGAACCUGCGGAGGGAUCAUUACAGAGUUCAUGCCCUCACGGGUAGAUCUCCCACCCUUGUGUAUUCAUACCUUUGUUGCUUUGGCAGGCCGCUGGGCUUCGGCCUGGCCACCGGCUCCCGGGCUGGUGCGUGCCUGCCAGGGGACCUCCAAACUCUGUUUGUCAGUGUCGUCUGAGUAUUAUACAAUCGUUAAAACUUUCAACAACGGAUCUCUUGGUUCUG
RNAcentral lists this unclassified non-coding RNA (255 nucleotides) under plant metagenome. Its description in RNAcentral is "partial contains small subunit ribosomal RNA, internal transcribed spacer 1, and 5.8S ribosomal RNA". The stretch from base 1 to 54 matches the Rfam family "Eukaryotic small subunit ribosomal RNA", at positions 1778 to 1831 of the family's 1831-position model. The record is from RNAcentral.